This 446-nucleotide ribosomal RNA is filed under the name uncultured bacterium. RNAcentral describes it as "SSU rRNA". It matches the Rfam family "Bacterial small subunit ribosomal RNA", at positions 26 to 518 of the family's 1533-position model. The record is from RNAcentral.
AGAGCGAACGCUGGCGGCAGGCCUAACACAUGCAAGUCGAGCGCCGUAGCAAUACGGAGCGGCAGACGGGAGAGUAACACGUGGGAACGUACCCUUUGGUUCGGAACAACCCAGGGAAACUUGGGCUAAUACCGAAUAAGCCCUUACGGGGAAAGAUUUAUCGCCGAAGGAUCGGCCCGCGUCUGAUUAGCUAGUUGGUGGGGUAACGGCCCACCAAGGCGACGAUCAGUAGCUGGUCUGAGAGGAUGAUCAGCCUCAUUGGGACUGAGACACGGCCCAAACUCCUACGGGAGGCAGCAGUGGGGAAUAUUGGACAAUGGGCGCAAGCCUGAUCCAGCCAUGCCGCGUGGGUGAUGAAGGCCCUAGGGUUGUAAAGCCCUUUCGGCGGGGAAGAUAAUGACGGUACCCGCAGAAGAAGCCCCGGCUAACUUCGCGCCAGCAGUCGC